Non-coding RNA from Triticum aestivum (bread wheat), 125 nucleotides. The record is from Rfam. Lineage: Eukaryota; Viridiplantae; Streptophyta; Magnoliopsida; Poales; Poaceae.
GUAAUACUUCCUCCGUUCAAAAAUACUUGUCGAAGAAAUAGAUGUAUCUAGACAUAUUUCAAUCUUAGAUACAUCCAUUUUGAUCCAUUUCUCCGACAAGUAUUUCUGGACGGAGGGAGUAAAUC